This is a long non-coding RNA of Nicotiana attenuata, 387 nucleotides long. RefSeq lists it as uncharacterized. Lineage: Eukaryota; Viridiplantae; Streptophyta; Magnoliopsida; Solanales; Solanaceae. The transcript is spliced from 2 exons. The record is from RefSeq and is a predicted model, not a curated record.
GGUCCGCCCCUAUGCACAUUACGGCCACCACCCAUCUAGUAUGAUCAUAAUUCAAAAAGCUUCAUUUCAUUCAAUAAUCUAGAAAGGCUUAAAAUCUUCAUUUCCAAAACCUUGGUCGUCUCGCUCAAUCAUAAAGGGAACCGACAUGAACAACAACCGUUAAUGUGGCAUUGCAGCCAAAGAAUAAUGGAAGAUGAGACAGAGACACCGAAUAAAUUUCAAAUUGUUGAAAAUUUUGGUGAAAGAGAUGCUUCAACUGAUUCCACAACCAACAACAGUGAAUCUCAAUAUGAUUGUAUGGUGUUUUAGGAGAUGAAUGGUGUUUAUUCACUCAAUUUUUUUGAUUAUGAUUGAAUGGUGCUUUAGGAGAUGAAUGGUUUUUUCUGA